RNAcentral lists this ribosomal RNA (521 nucleotides) under Xanthochorema celadon. Its description in RNAcentral is "partial 16S ribosomal RNA". Lineage: Eukaryota; Metazoa; Arthropoda; Insecta; Trichoptera; Hydrobiosidae. The record is from RNAcentral.
GUCUUUUUGAUUUAUAUUUAUUUAAAGUCUAAUCUGCUCACUGAAUUAAAAUUUAAAGAGCCGCAGUAUUUUAACUGUGCAAAGGUAGCAUAAUAAUUUGUUUUUUAAUUGAAAACUAGAAUGAAUGAUUGAACGAGAUAUAUUCUGUCUCAAUUUUAAUUUAAUAUAAAUUAAUUUUUUAGUUAAAAAGCUAAAAUUAGUUUAAAAGACGAGAAGACCCUAUAGAUUUUUAUAUAAUUAUUUAUUAAUUUAUAUAUAUGUAUAUAAUAUUUAUAUUUAUAGGUAAUUAUAUUUUAUUGGGGUAAUAAAAAAAUAAAAUUAACUUUUAUAAAAUAAAAACAUAAAUUAAUGAAAAUUUGAUCCAAAUUUAAUGAUUAAAAGAUUAAAUUACCUUAGGGAUAACAGCGUAAUUUUAAUUUUAAGUUCUUAUUGAAAUUAAAGAUUGCGACCUCGAUGUUGGAUUAAGAAAAAUUUUAAAAGAAGAUUUUUAAAUUUUAGGUCUGUUCGACCUUUAAAAUCUU